This 492-nucleotide ribosomal RNA is filed under the name uncultured bacterium. RNAcentral's name for it is "partial 16S ribosomal RNA". It matches the Rfam family "Bacterial small subunit ribosomal RNA", at positions 29 to 507 of the family's 1533-position model. The record is from RNAcentral.
AGUGAACGCUGGCGGUAGGCCUAACACAUGCAAGUCGAACGGCAGCACAGUAAGGGCUUGCUCUUACGGGUGGCGAGUGGCGGACGGGUGAGGAAUACAUCGGAAUCUACUUUUUCGUGGGGGAUAACGUAGGGAAACUUACGCUAAUACCGCAUACGACCUACGGGUGAAAGCAGGGGAUCUUCGGACCUUGCGCGAUUGAAUGAGCCGAUGUCGGAUUAGCUAGUUGGCGGGGUAAAGGCACACCAAGGCGACGAUCCGUAGCUGGUCUGAGAGGAUGAUCAGCCACACUGGAACUGAGACACGGCCCAGACUCCGACGGGAGGCAGCAGUGGGGAAUAUUGGACGAUGGGCGAAAGCCUGAUCCAGCAAUACCGCGUGGGUGAAGAAGGCCUUCGGCUUGUAAAGCCCUUUUGUUGGGAAAGAAAAACAGCAGGUUAAUACCCCGCUAUACUGACGGUACCCAAAGAGUAAGCACCGGCUAACUUCGUG